This 73-nucleotide transfer RNA is filed under the name Microcaldota archaeon. RNAcentral describes it as "Candidatus Micrarchaeota archaeon (hot springs metagenome) tRNA-Asp". It matches the Rfam family "tRNA". Rfam says of the family: Transfer RNA (tRNA) molecules are approximately 80 nucleotides in length. Their secondary structure includes four short double-helical elements and three loops (D, anti-codon, and T loops). Lineage: Archaea; Nanobdellati; Microcaldota. RNAcentral also lists the same sequence under 2 other names. The record is from RNAcentral.
GCUUGGGUGGUGUAGUGGUCUAGCAUUGCGGCCUGUCACGCCGCCGACCCGGGUUCGAAUCCCGGCCCAGGCG